GAUUUUGUAGCUCAAUGGCAGAGCACCGGUCUGUUAAACCGGAAGUUGAAAGUUCGAGUCUUUCCAAAAUCGCAA
This 75-nucleotide transfer RNA is filed under the name Chryseobacterium arthrosphaerae. RNAcentral describes it as "tRNA-Asn". It matches the Rfam family "tRNA". Rfam says of the family: Transfer RNA (tRNA) molecules are approximately 80 nucleotides in length. Their secondary structure includes four short double-helical elements and three loops (D, anti-codon, and T loops). Further hydrogen bonds mediate the characteristic L-shaped molecular structure. tRNAs have two regions of fundamental functional importance: the anti-codon, which is responsible for specific mRNA codon recognition, and the 3' end, to which the tRNAs corresponding amino acid is attached (by aminoacyl-tRNA synthetases). tRNAs cope with the degeneracy of the genetic code in two manners: having more than one tRNA (with a specific anti-codon) for a particular amino acid; and 'wobble' base-pairing, i.e. permitting non-standard base-pairing at the 3rd anti-codon position. Lineage: Bacteria; Pseudomonadati; Bacteroidota; Flavobacteriia; Flavobacteriales; Weeksellaceae. The record is from RNAcentral.